AGAUCCAAAUCGCAGGGAAGUACCCAAACACAUAACAGUAGUAAUGAGUAAUUCCUUCAGAAGGCGAUGGACGGUAUCACCAGUGGCACUGAGAAAUGAAGAUGUCGCCUUUCCUCCCUGUGCACAGCUUAACAAAGCAAUAAACUGAGUGUGGACCAGUUUGCAUGUCA
Molecule: long non-coding RNA, 170 nt
Organism: Cynocephalus volans (Philippine flying lemur)
Lineage: Eukaryota; Metazoa; Chordata; Mammalia; Dermoptera; Cynocephalidae
Exons: 2
Source: RefSeq, a predicted model, not a curated record